UACGGGGGGGGCAAGCGUUGUUCGGAAUUACUGGGCGUAAAGGGCUUGUAGGUGGCCAACUAAGUCAGACGUGAAAUCCCUCAGCUUAACUGGGGAACUGCGUCUGAUACUGGCUGGCUUGAGUUUGGGAGAGGGAUGCGGAAUUCCAGGUGUAGCGGUGAAAUGCGUAGAUAUCUGGAGGAACACCGGUGGCGAAGGCGGCAUCCUGGACCAACACUGACACUGAGGAGCGAAAGCCAGGGGAGCAAACGGG
RNAcentral lists this ribosomal RNA (253 nucleotides) under uncultured bacterium. Its description in RNAcentral is "partial 16S ribosomal RNA". It matches the Rfam family "Bacterial small subunit ribosomal RNA", at positions 524 to 776 of the family's 1533-position model. The record is from RNAcentral.